RNAcentral lists this ribosomal RNA (942 nucleotides) under Triticum aestivum (bread wheat). RNAcentral describes it as "partial small subunit ribosomal RNA". The record is from RNAcentral. Lineage: Eukaryota; Viridiplantae; Streptophyta; Magnoliopsida; Poales; Poaceae.
AUGGCCGCUACAGACCCUUCCUACUACCAGAGUGGUGUUUGCCAAGACAUCAAACAGAAGGAGCAUCUCUUCCACUUAUACAUGAACCAGAUAUUUGAUGGAACCCCAAAUGCCAACCAACAAGCUAUUGUCAAACCAGGUCUUCCUUUUGGGUUUGGUCACACUGUUGCAAACGACUGGACCAUAGGUGAUGGUCCGGCUGCCGAUGCUAACCUUGUCGCACGUGCCCGUGGCAUGCACAUGGGUGUGGGCAAAGUCGAUGAGAACUGGUUAUUCUGUCACAAUAUAUUGUUCACUGAUACCAGGUUUAAGGGGUCAAGCCUUAAGGUUCUUGGAGACUUUGUAAGCAAAGAAGAUAGUGAAUGGGCAAUUGUUGGUGGGACUAGAAAGUUCGCAUAUGCACAUGGUGUUGUGGUCGCCAAAAUUCUCCCAAAUGUACCACCUGCUCCUGCACGUACUUGGGAGCUUCGUAUUAGUGCUUUCUGUUUGUGCAUCCCCAAAGUGACCCCAGUGACAAAGAUGGGACUUUGGGGUGGGAAUGGGGGGAUAUCCUUUGACAUUACGGAGAUGCCUCGUUCUCUCCAAACUGUGACAAUUAGAUGUGGCGAUGUGAUUAACUCAGUUAUGUUUUCCUACACUGACCAAGCUGGUCAUAAGAAAAUUGCCGGACCAUGGGGCGGUGAUGGUGCACUUACUGUAACGAUCACACUUGCUCCUUCCGAGUUUAUAAGGCAAGUUCUUGGAACAACCGGCACAGUUGGAGGAGAGACAGUUGUUACUUCACUUUCCUUUGUCAGCAGCGUUACAACUUAUGGGCCUUUUGGAAAAGCAAACGGCACCCCAUUUGGCAGCCAGGUUCCAGAUGGUAACAACAUUGGGGGAUUCUAUGUGCGUGUUGGGGGGUUUGUUAAUGCACUUGGCGUUUACACGUGCCCAAGUUAG